Molecule: long non-coding RNA, 4035 nt
Filed under: Vitis vinifera (wine grape)
Lineage: Eukaryota; Viridiplantae; Streptophyta; Magnoliopsida; Vitales; Vitaceae
Description: long non-coding RNA (VVIN_LNC000952)
Source: RNAcentral
UAAAAGAAAAUGGUAGAGAAAUUCAGUACACACAAAGCCACAUAGAAACAAAAGUUGGACUGAAAGUAAAAAGAGUCUGUAAUCAUAAUAAAUUCCAGAGUUUUGAAUACUUAUUUUCUACAAAUUAAUAUUUUUGACCCAAUUCCCGUGGUUCUUUAAUAGAAAAGUUCACUAUCCGGUGCUACGUAUUCUUGAUUAUUUUUUUGAUCCCUACUAAGAAUUUGUUAGACUUAAACGUCUACUUCUUCCAUCCCAUUAAGGUUGUCCUUUUUUGCCUUUUCAUUGUCCUGGAAGGCAUAGAGAUUUUUUUUUUUUGAUAGAUAAACACAGAAUAAUUAUAUUAAAAAGAGGGAAGCAAGAAGGCAACCCGAAGCAUACAGGAAGUAUACACGAGAAGCCCCAAAAACAAAAAGCACAAGGAAGCAUACACUCACCAACCCUCAAUUAGAACCCAACCAAUCUACAAAAUUAAUUAAGGAGUGGGGCUCUCCAUCUAAACAAGACUUAGUCCAAGAGAAAAGAUUACAAACGAAGGAGGUUUUCAAUCUUUGGAUCGACAAAGCCUCAUUAUCAAAAGCUAUCCUAUUUCUUUCUUUCCACAUCGUCCAAAAUAAACAAAGGGGGGCUACCCGCCAAAUCUUCCCACGCUUCUUGUCUACAAAGGAAUCGGACCAACCAAGGAGAGUGUCUUUAACUGUGAGCUGAAGGACCCAAUUAACCCUAAACAUCGUAAACAUAAGAUUCCACAACACCUUCGCCUUGGGGCAAUGAAUAAGGAUGUGGUUAAUUGUCUCCUCAUCAUCACAACAUAAGAAGCAUCUGUUUGCUAGAGACCAACCCCUCCUUUUGAGAUGAUCUUGGGUUAAGACCUUCCCCCAAGAAGCUUCCCAAGCAAAAAAACCCACCUUAGUAGGCACGCAAGGGCUCCAUAUGAUUCUCCACGGAAACGGGAUUGCACCACCAGAAUCCAGAGUAUUGUAAAGGGAUUUUACAGAGAAAAUCCCAUUCUUAGAAGCAUUCCACACCACUCUAUCCUCCAUCCCAACAUUGAGCCUCUUUCCUUAAAGGACCGAAAGGAGACUCGCCACCGCCUCCUGCUCCCAAUCAUUAAAAGACCUAGAAAAACAAGGAUACCAUCCCCCCGCAUCCCCCAUAUAAUCCCAACAAUCCUCUACCCACGCAUCUUGGGAUACCGCAAAGGCAAACAGAGAAGGAAAAGCCUCACAUAGGGGAGUGUUUCCACACCAAAUGUCCUUCCAAAAUUUCACCCUUCUACCAUCCCCUACAGUCUAGAAGGCAUAGAGAUUUGUCACUCAUUUUCACAAACUAUCCCUUAUAAUGUAGUAAAUUAAAUUAAAAAACAAUGUGAAAUAAAAUAGAGACAACCUUAGAAAAGACUCAAUAUAGACAAGUUCCCUCUGCCUUGCUCUAACUAGUAUUUACUCAUAUGAGGAAAUUUAUAAUCAACCACAAACCUUUAUCACCUCAAUCAUACAUGGUUUCCAUUUCUCCUAUCUUUUUUUUGAUAGGCAAACAAGAAUAUAUAUUGAUAAAGAAAGAAAAGAGCACAACAAAGUACAUACGAUGUAUACAAUUAGUCCCAAACAUGUAGGAAAAAAGGAACAAGAAAAGGAAAAACAAAAACAACCUCCCUCUCCUUACUUCAAGCUCAACCAAUCUACAAAGCCUAUCAUUAACAUAGAAUGAUUGUCUAUAUACACUCUAGCCCAAUAAAAAAAGAUACACAUAAAGGAAGAUUUAAUUGUUCGAUCUGAAAGUUCUACACCUUCAAAAGACCUCCUCUCUCUUACUUUCCAUAACGUUUAAAAUGGACAUAAAGGAGUUGCCCUCCAAGCUUUCUUCUUCUUCUUUCUCACAAAAGAAACAUGUCAACUCAAAAAAUUGCAUUCAACAAAGGAGUACAUCACCCAUGCCAUUCCAAAUAGGGAAAAAACCAAUUGCCACAAGAUUUUUGCUAUGAAGUAGGGGAGAAGCAAGUGAUCAACCAACACUUCAUCCCCUUUACAUUUACUCGGCACAUACUCUAACCCCUUCUUUUGAGCUGAUCAAGAAUUAAAUUCCUUCCUCAAAUAGCUUCUCAAGUAAAAGAAUUCACCUUCAAUGGCACUAAAGGGUUCCAUACUAUGCUUGCAAGGAAGGCUCACUUCUUCCUUGGGCUAAGGAUGCAUAGAAAAAUCGGGCAAGCAACUUGCCAUUCUUAGUUUCUUUCAAGCUCAAUUUGUCCUCCUCAUCUUCCUUUCUAACUGAGAUUGAUUGUGGCCUUCAAAAAAAGACCUCCUUCCAACGCUUAAUUGAGGAACUAUCUAUGAAAGCAGGGACUCCAUUGACCCAUUUCCCCAACUUGUUCCCACAUUUCAAGCUAUACAAGAGUCUUUAUCAACGGUAUAGAAAAUAACACCAAAAAAGACUCUUCCAAAGAAUUUUUGCUGCACCAUCCAUCUUUCCAUAAUUUUAUCCUUCUGCCAAUACACAAAAUGAGGCAAGUUCUACUUCCAAAGGCUUCCCACUAGUUUCUUAUAGCCUUCCACAACCUCACCCCAUAGCCAUUCCUCAUUGCCCUUGAGCACCAUCCCCUUUCUUUUGUCCCAUACUUCAUAGCAAUGACCUAUUUCCAAAGGAACUCCCUUGGAAGCAAAUCUCUAGCUCCGUUUACCAAGGAUAACCCUAUUAAGAGUGUGGAGAAUUUUAUGCCAAUCUCCCCAUCUAUUUUUGCCCAAACAAACAAUAGACCAAUUAACCAAAUGGGGUUUUCUCUCAAGAGCUCCUUCUCUCCCUAGGAAAUCCUUUGGAUCUACUCCAAUCUUAAGCUCACCCUCCUCAGAAUGGCGAAAAAGAGAUAUGAAAUAAAUUGACUAACUUGAUAACGUGUUCUUUAUCAAGGUAAGUCUCUAUCCUCUCAAUAAUAUUGUCGCUUCCACAAGGCUAGAUUUUUCUUAAAUCUUUCCUUCAUCGAGUUUCAUACCCUCAUUGACUUGCGAGGAGAACCCAACAACAAAUCCAAGUAUGUAGUAGGUACACUCCCAACGCAUAGGCUAAACCCUCCACAUUUACGACAUCACCUAUCAAAAUUAGCUUACUUUCUCCAUAUUAUCCUUAAACUAGAUAUUGUCUCAAACCACAUGAAAGCUCAACUUAGAUACUCCAAUUGCUCUUGGUUAGUAACAUCACAGAAAAUUAAGGCAUAAUUAGUGAACAACGAAUCAAACACUUCCAUUCCUUCCCCACCUCUUCCUCCCACUUUGAAUCACAAGAUGAAACUCCCUUUCAUUGGCCCUCCUUAGAACUUGGUUGAGAACCUCCAUUGCCAACAUGAAGUGAGUAGGAGAUAUCCAUCACACCCAAUUUUGACCAAAAUCUUUUUUUUUUUCCAAAACUACUAGCAAGAAGUCUCAAUUUACAUGAUUAUAUGUCUUUUCAAUGUCCAGCUUUCAAAUGAUCCUACCAUUGGUGCUCUUUAGCCUUGAAAUCUAAGGCCCCAUCUGCAUCCAAAAUUUGUUUACUCUCCACAAAAGCUUGUUGGUAAAUUGAAACCACCAAGCCCACCACCUUUUUGAGCUGAUUAGCCAAAACUUUAGCCAAUAGCUUAUACAACCCCCCAACUAAAUUAAUGAAUCUGAAAUCUUUUAUAUCCUCAACUCCACCUUUCUUAGGAAUCAAAACUCACUCAAAGGAGUUGUUACCAAAGAACUCCUUGAAGAAACUCAUCACCUCGGUUUUUACAAAGUCCCAACUCUUGUGCCAAAACACCAUCUAGAGCUUUAUUCACACAACUAGACAAGGUAGCAAAAACUUCCUCCUCAAUGAAAGGAACCUCUAACAUCCUUUCCCCUUCUCUUGUAAGUUUUCAAAGAAUGUUUUCAAUAUUGUUAUACAUCAUCUCUUGAUUUGUAAGAACUAGACACCACCUGAAAAAAGGAAUGAUAUUUCCAUAAAGUUCAUGAUUUUUCCACUCAAAUUCUUUGGAUGCAAUCCAAGUGCAAUAAAAAAGAGGGUGAUUUCCCCACAUAACCAAAU